RNAcentral lists this non-coding RNA (21 nucleotides) under Caenorhabditis elegans. The record is from RNAcentral. Lineage: Eukaryota; Metazoa; Nematoda; Chromadorea; Rhabditida; Rhabditidae.
UUCUGAGCUGAUAAUCAUUUC